UUAGAGUUUGGAUCCUGGCUCAGGACGAACGCUGGCGGCGUGCCUAAUACAUGCAAGUCGAGCGGGGUUAUGUAGAAGCUUGCUUCUACAUAACCUAGCGGCGGACGGGUGAGUAACACGUAGGCAACCUGCCCACAAGACAGGGAUAACUACCGGAAACGGUAGCUAAUACCCGAUACAUCCUUUUCCUGCAUGGGAGAAGGAGGAAAGACGGAGCAAUCUGUCACUUGUGGAUGGGCCUGCGGCGCAUUAGCUAGUUGGUGGGGUAAAGGCCUACCAAGGCGACGAUGCGUAGCCGACCUGAGAGGGUGAUCGGCCACACUGGGACUGAGACACGGCCCAGACUCCUACGGGAGGCAGCAGUAGGGAAUCUUCCGCAAUGGGCGAAAGCCUGACGGAGCAACGCCGCGUGAGUGAUGAAGGUUUUCGGAUCGUAAAGCUCUGUUGCCAGGGAAGAACGUCUUGUAGAGUAACUGCUACAAGAGUGACGUACCUGGAGAGCCGGAG
This 507-nucleotide ribosomal RNA is filed under the name Paenibacillus polymyxa. RNAcentral's name for it is "bacterial SSU rRNA". It matches the Rfam family "Bacterial small subunit ribosomal RNA", at positions 1 to 492 of the family's 1533-position model. Lineage: Bacteria; Bacillati; Bacillota; Bacilli; Caryophanales; Paenibacillaceae. The record is from RNAcentral.